Molecule: ribosomal RNA, 253 nt
Filed under: uncultured bacterium
Lineage: Bacteria
Description: partial 16S ribosomal RNA
Rfam family: Bacterial small subunit ribosomal RNA
Source: RNAcentral
UACGUAUGGUGCAAGCGUUAUCCGGAUCUACUGGGUGUAAAGGGAGCGCAGGCGGCACGGCAAGCCUGAUGUGAAAGCCCGCGGCCCAACCGCGGGACUGCAUUGGGAACUACCGGGCUGGAGUGCCGGAGAGGUAGGCGGAAUUCCUAGUGUAGCGGUGAAAUGCGUAUAUAUUAGGAGGAACACCAGUGGCGAAGGCGGCCUACUGGACGGUGACUGACGCUGAGGCUCGAAAGCGUGGGGAGCAAACAGG